CGGUCGUCUCUAGCGCGCGUGCGCCCCGGCGCCCCCGGCUCCGCCUGGCGCUGGAACCGUCUGCGUUCGCACAGAGAGCGUUUGUUUCUUGGCGCCUGGGCCCCGCCUCCUGACCUCACGAGAUUGCUUUGAGAAUUAAGGGAGACGCUGUGUGUGCAGUGGUGGCCUGGGAGAAAUGGCUUUCUGAGUGGCUGUCACACGUGAACAUCCACACACCACCACAUCCAUAUCCACCCUCAAGAAGCCAACGCGAAAUCAACUAACUCCUGAGACCCUGCCCGUUUCUGGAACGGGCAGAGCUGGAGAUGGUCCUUCACCGUCAGCCUUGGGAGGAGGAUGGGCAGGGAUUCCCCACUCCCGUGAAGGCAGUGGUGGAAGCCUACUCAGGACCUCCCAGAUGGGAGAUCAGCUCUCCUGAGACGCUGCCGUCAGGGCUGAGGUGGUAGUUGGCUGGCAGUACCUCGCACACCGAUCUAAUGGCUGCAAGCUCAUACUCAACAAGCCACGUGAUGAGAAGCAGCAAGAUGUGGUAGGACAAAUGCUGACUGGAGCCUGCCUGUCUGGUCCGGACCUUGCCCAGUGACCUUGAGCAGGCACUGUCAACGGGCCUGUUUUGCAGCUUUAGCGGAUGGAGGUUGGCCUUGAAUCUCCAGGGAUGGCAAUAUCAGAAAUCCCCAGGCUUUCUCAGCACAGCACCAUGGGAGGGGGAUGGGGACUUCAGGGAAUCAGGUAAUCACAUUUGUACACCCAUUAAAAAGUUCACCUUAAUCAAGUAAAAUGCAUGAUGUUUCCAGAAGUAACGCUUUUUGACAUAAAAAAAAAAAAGGCAAGGCUAGUACCGACAUGUGGCAGUUCUGCUGCUUCUGCUCAGAGGAAUGAAGCAGGCAACCCUUAG
Long non-coding RNA from Zalophus californianus (California sea lion), 895 nucleotides. RefSeq lists it as uncharacterized. NCBI's taxonomy places the organism in Eukaryota, Metazoa, Chordata, Mammalia, Carnivora, Otariidae. The transcript has 3 exons. The record is from RefSeq and is a predicted model, not a curated record.